AAGUCGUAACAAGGUUUCCGUAGGUGAACCUGCGGAAGGAUCAUUGCCGAAUAACAUGCGAUUGCGGGGGGGAUCUCUCUCCCCCCGCCGUCCGCAUUUCUUUCUUCGUCUCUCCCUACGUGCAUCCGCAAAGGUGGCCAGCGAGGGUUGGGACCUCGUGCCCCGCCCUCCGCGCGCUUUUGUCCGAAUAAAAAGCUCCUUUUUUCCUGUAAUGCGAGUGAUCGAAAAGAAGCGUCUCUCCGGAGACGCGGAAAGAAACACAACUUUCAACAACGGAUCUCUUGGCUUUC
Molecule: unclassified non-coding RNA, 290 nt
Filed under: fungal sp.
Lineage: Eukaryota; Fungi
Description: partial internal transcribed spacer region
Rfam family: Eukaryotic small subunit ribosomal RNA (bases 1-46)
Source: RNAcentral